UACGGAGGGUGCAAGCGUUAUCCGGAUUCACUGGGGUUAAAGGGUGCGUAGGUGGGCAGGUAAGUCAGUGGUGAAAUCUUUGGGCUUAACCCGAAAACUGCCAUUGAUACUAUUUGUCUUGAAUAUUGUGGAGGUCAGCGGAAUAUGUCAUGUAGCGGUGAAAUGCUUAGAUAUGACAUAGAACACCAAUUGCGAAGGCAGCUGGCUACACAUAUAUUGACACUGAUGCACGAAAGCGUGGGGAUCAAACAGG
This 253-nucleotide ribosomal RNA is filed under the name uncultured bacterium. Its description in RNAcentral is "partial 16S ribosomal RNA". It matches the Rfam family "Bacterial small subunit ribosomal RNA", at positions 524 to 776 of the family's 1533-position model. The record is from RNAcentral.